UUUCUAUGUAAGAUUGGGGAGCUUAAAAAACUUGUUGAAGAGGGAAAAAUAAAAUACAUUGGUUUGUCUGAGGCCUCACCUUCAACAAUCAGAAGAGCUCAUGCAGUUCAUCCAAUAACAGCUGUGCAAUUGGAGUGGUCACUUUGGGCAAGAGAUGUGGAGGAAGAAAUAAUUCCAACUUGCAGGUUUGAUUUAGUUUCUAGUAAUAUUAUUUGAUAAAAUUGCAAUGAUAUGAAUCACCGACACCGACACUGAAUACAUUAAUGAUAUACGUAGGCACAAGUAAUAGUUUGAGAAAAUGAAAGUGAUUAAAUGUAACUACAUGUAUUAUUGGUGUCGUGUCUGACAUCAAACACCUUUUUCAUCUGAAUUGUCGGUGCUACAUAAAUAAAUAUGAAGUCUAAUUUUAUAAGCCAUGAUUUUAUUUCUUAGGGAACUUGGUAUUGGAAUUGUUGCAUAUAGUCCUCUUGGGAGAGGAUUCUUUUCAUCUGGAACAAAGAUUACUGAUACCUUUACAAAGGAAGACUACCGUCAGGUUUGUGGAAAAGCAAGCAUUUACAUAAAUUCAUAUCAAUUACUUGUUCAUUUUGUUAAUCAACUGGUAAGUAUGAGACACCGACACAAAAAUUGACAUGCUGUUGACACAUGACACUGACACAGACAUCAAUAAUAAUGUAAGUAAAUAUAAGUGACUGAAUAUAACCAUGUGUGUUGAAUACCGACCACACCUUCAAUUUGAAGGGUCGGCGUUACAUACGCUUCGUUUAUAAAAAGGCUACUCACAUCGAGAGAUGAUAGCUAUGUUGGCACCCAAGCUGCUAAUAAUAUAAACUACUGUGACUACAAGUCUUGAACUUAUAUAGCAAUCCUAACUGAAUCAGUUAAGUUAGUUAUGAGUAGUAACUGAUAUAACGGAAAGAUGCAGCAAACGAUUCUAACUGAAACUUGAGUGUUUAACAUAUUUGUUUGUAACAAAUUUUAAGACACAUAGUAUUAGUAAACACAGUUUGUAACUCUGGAAAAUAAACAGAACCAUUUGAUUUGAUCAAUGUGUUUUGAUACACUUAGUAUGGUUUUCCAAAGAAAAAUAUGUAAAUUAAGAGCAUUAAGAGACAUCAUAGAGACUAGUAGACAUCAGAGAGACAUCUAGUAGCACUAAUCCUUUCAAACAAGUUUAAAACCUAGAAUUAUGUGUAUUUUUCAUGGUUGACACGAGUUUAAUAGAUAUGCUCUGUCAAUGUAAUUUACACUGACAUCCAAUAUGAAUCAGGCAUUUCACCAUGUCAUACAAUUAAAGUGGGGUGUAGUGGGGUGAUUUGACGGAAUACACGGUCGCUAUUAAAUGACAGUGUAAAAUUAGUUUACACUGUCUGUGCAUAUAUUAUUUUGUCAUACCUAAUAUAUAACUUGUAUUUGUGUAAAUAUGUUUGCAGCAUAUGCCAAGAUUUCAACCUGAAAACCUGCAGCAAAAUCAGAUUAUAUUUGAGAGGGUUAAUGAAUUGGCUACAAAGAAAGGAUGUACUCCAUCUCAACUUGCAUUGGCCUGGCUUCAUCACCAAGGAAACGACGUGUGUCCGAUACCUGGAACAACCAAAAUUGAGAACUUUAAUCAAAACAUUGGAGCUUUGUCGGUAAAAUUAACACCAGAAGAACUGGCAGAAAUUGAGUCCUUAGCAGAUAUUGUUAAAGGCGAUAGAUCUGGGAGUGAACCUACAUGGAAAGACUCUGAUACUCCACCACUUUCUUCUUGGAAAACUGCAUAAUGAAGUGGUUUGAUUGCUUAUUAAUCGUAUCAACAUAAUUUUAAAUUGUGGUUGCAAUUACGCUAUGAAAUUUUAUUCUAUGUUAAAAUACGGGCAAAUGUGGCUGCAUAUUCGGUUGCAGACUACUAUUUAGAAUCAUAAAUAUCAGUAUUCCAUAUGUAUUUGAUGUUACUACCUUAAAAAUUAAUAAAUUGGUCCGAGGAAAAGGAUUUUGGUUGUAUAAACAUCUAUAGUUUCUAGCAUAUGUGUGAUUUGAACUCUAAUGAAUAUGACUCUAUUAUAUUGAGUUUAAUAAAUUUUAUCCAUAAAUUGUAAUAGCUAAUAAAUUUUGCAUAGGUUUUAAUUUUUUAUAUGCGUAUCAUGUUUUCUAAUUUUAGACCAGAAAAUAUGUUGUAACCAAAAAAUGUCCAGAAAAUAUGUUUGUUUUUGUUGUUUAAAUUUGAGAUCUAAAAUGGAAAACAACAUAAAAACUAGUAAUUGAAAUUGUCUCAAGGCAACACAGCAUUCAUAAAUACAACCAUAUGACAUACAUAAACAAGAAAAUAUAAAAAUCAACACAUGGUCCAUGCAUGGGUCCAAAGAACCAAUGUGGUGUCACCUCAAAAGGUUCAAAGAAGUCAUGUUGAUAUACGUAAUAAUUGAAGGAUACAUUUUGAGUAAAUUAUACACGCUCUUUUUUUUGUCAAGUAGUUUAGUGGCUAGACUCACACAUUUAAAUGUAAAAAAAUGUAGAACCUGAGAUUCGAAUCCCGACCACCCCAAUACACACUCUUCUCUUCUAAAACAGUAACAUUAGCAUCCUAAUAGAUACACGCGUAGACGCGCGUGUACCAUGCCAAGAUCAAGUUCACCAAAAACAAUUAUAGACAGAAAAGUAAACUAGGUUGAAAAAAUGUGACAAUGGGGCCUGACCUUCCUUUCUAACAAUCAAGUGAUAAUGGUGAUGUUUUCUUUGCAGGCAUUGUUAGGUAGACGUUGAGGAUAAAUUUUUCUCUCGAGAAGCCCCGUGGGGGACGGGGACCUGUUGUAGUAGUUCCUCGGUUUUCAGAUAAUGGACGCUUUAACAGACAUUGAGUUGAAUUUGCCGUAUGGAAUUUAUGUAUGUGUCUCUGAAUCAAAUUAAAAUUAUUAGCUAAUAGAUACAAUUUUUUUGUAUUGUUUAUCAUAUUCUCUUUAAUUUGUAGAAAUUGAAAUUUAGCUAAGAUGUUGAAUCAAUUUUUUACAUCAGGAUAGUAGUCAUGCAAAUAUGACAUUGCGUGGAUCACUGAGAAAUUUUCAGCACAAAUCGUGAUUGAUACUAUAAUGUUCUGCUUAAAGUAUCAAUGUUGAGUUCUUCGGUCCAAGCUUAAUGAUCAUAAAAGAAUAGAUGCAUGUAGUUUGUAUGCUUCAUUAUGCCAAAAAUCAUUAGUUUUGGUGUCAUGAACUCUACAAAUAUGAAGUCACGAAUAUUUCAUACACUUCAAUAUAGUUAAAUAUGUAGGCUUAUGCAAUUUGUCAUUUUAUAUUAUUAACAUGCAUGUUGUAGGUGAAAUUGGUAGCUCUACUGACUCGAGCUAAGGGUGAAAGUAGCUAAGGGAGAAAACGACAGAUAUUAGAGAUAAUACAAUGUAUGCAUUGACUUUAAACUAUUAGUAUUGGAGCAUAUGAUACUUUUCUUUAAAGAAUCAAUUUUGAAUUUCAUAUAUACUAGGAGGAAUAAAUAAUUUCUAUAACACUANNNNNNNNNNNNNNNNNNNNNNNNNNNNNNNNNNNNNNNNNNNNNNNNNNNNNNNNNNNNNNNNNNNNNNNNNNNNNNNNNNNNNNNNNNNNNNNNNNNNNNNNNNNNNNNNNNNNNNNNNNNNNNNNNNNNNNNNNNNNNNNNNNNNNNNNNNNNNNUAUAUAUAUAUCUAAAAUAUUAUAUAUUUAUGAAUAUUAGAAUAUCUUAUUUAAGUUACUUCAAACAUUUUUAUGUUACUCAUUUUGCCACAAUAGCUCCAAUCUUAUGAAAAUAAAAAAUAAAUAAGUUCAUUUAGAUCGAUGCUCUUAGUGGAAAUAUAUAUAUGCAAUGACUUGAUGGCCAAGUUUUGUGCUCCUCGGAUUAAGACAUUCGUCUAGUUGCCAAAUUGGAACUUAAUUUUUCUCCUUGUUUUUCCUUUCCUUGACUUUUCUUUAUAAUUUAAUUUUCACCUUUUAAUCAAAGUUUACCCUUUAAUUUCUUUUGUCGUAUGAUGAAAAAUAAUUAUAAAUAGUGCAAGGGGAGGGGAUACAAUUGACAACUUUAACUUUGUGUGGCCUUUACAUAGAAAGAGAAAACAUUUUGUUUAGUGUUGUAUUGUGAGACUCAUAGCAAUGGCAAAAGUGGGAAGAAUGAAGUUGGGAUCACAAGGUAUGGAAGUGUCUUUACAAGGACUUGGUUGCAUGAGCAUGUCUGCUUUUUAUGGUCCUCCUAAGCCUGAACCUGACAUGAUUUCUCUCAUCCACCAUGCCAUUCAAUCUGGUGUCACUCUUCUUGAUACUUCUGAUUUCUAUGGCCCUCAUACAAAUGAACUCCUUCUUGGAAAGGUUCUGAUCACUUUUUCUUAUUAAUAUAUUAUAUUUAGUCGUUUAAUUAUACUUUACUACCUCUCAGCCGAAUUCUAGCUUUUCGAGGCUCUUCAAUAGAGGGCUAAAAAAAAGAACAAAUGAUUGUGAAUUUGUGAUGAAGUGUGCAUGUUUGAAAUUGUGGAACAGGCUCUCAAAGGAGGGGUAAGAGAAAAGGUUGAAUUGGCUACCAAGUUUGGAGCUAGAACUAUUGAUGGGAAGUUUGAGAUUUGUGGUGAUCCAGCUUAUGUGAGAGAAGCUUGUGAAGCCAGCUUGAAAAGACUUGAUAUUGAUUGUAUUGAUCUCUAUUAUCAACAUCGUAUUGAUACUCGUCUUCCAGUUGAAGUCACGGUUUGAUUCUUCUAACUUCUCUUUAAUUUGAUUUUGGUAGUAUAAAAUGUGUAUACCGUGAAGCAUUGUCUAAGCUAUGAAAUUGAAUUAUUUAUUCAAAUAUAUACAAAGACAAUUUGUGACAACUUCAACUUUUCCCUUUUUUUAUGGAAGAUUGGCGAGCUUAAGAAACUUGUUGAAGAGGGAAAAAUAAAAUACAUUGGUUUGUCUGAGGCCUCACCUUCAACAAUCAGAAGAGCACACGCAGUUCAUCCGAUAACAGCUGUGCAAUUAGAGUGGUCACUUUGGUCAAGAGAUGUGGAAGAAGAAAUAAUUCCAACUUGCAGGUUUGAUUUAGUUUACAACCAUUAUCUUCUGUUAUCUAGCAUUUGUCUUUCUAGUAAUUUGAUAAAAUUGUAAUGAUAUGAAUCACCGACACAAACACUGGAUACGAUAAUAACAUGUAGAUACCAGUAAUAGUUUCAGAAAAUGAAAGUGAUAAAUUGUAACUACAUGUAUUGGCGUCAUGUCUGAC
Molecule: long non-coding RNA, 5187 nt
Filed under: Trifolium pratense (red clover)
Lineage: Eukaryota; Viridiplantae; Streptophyta; Magnoliopsida; Fabales; Fabaceae
Description: long non-coding RNA (TPRA_LNC001268)
Source: RNAcentral